AACACUCUUUAUGUAUGUUUGAAGCUUCAUCAAUUAAAGCAAAAGUUCUCUUACACUAUACAAACACUCAACAUCAGAGAUCAGAAUGCAGCUUCAAGGUGUGAACAACUAAAGAAAAAGUUCUCAAUUAAACCUUCAAAUUGAACAUCAGAUACUCUUCAGAAUUGGGUCUUGCAUUGUUUUUUGGAUAUAAUUCUGUUAAGUUUUCCUUAGAUCAUUUUGUUGUUGGUCAACAUGCCGGAAAAAGAGUUUUUUUGCCAAGAAUCCCUCUAACUCUUUCUGAAGAUGACAUGUUCUCAUUCAAGCUGAAAAGAAAACAAUUUCCAAUUCGACUUAGCUUUUCCAUGACGAUUAAUAAAGCUCAAUGUCAAACAAUUCCUCACGUUAGUAUUUAUCUACCGGAUUCUGUAUUUUCACAUGGACAACUUUAUGUUGCGUUAUCAAGAGGGAUUUCAAGACAAACAACGAAGGUGUUGGUACAUCUCGCCAAAGAUUUUAAACAACACGGAGUUUACACAUCAAAUGUUGUCUAAUAGGAAGUGUUGCGUGAUUAAUGAACCGCAUUCGUAAACGAAGCUGGUACAGUAGAGGAGAAGAUACAAGAAAUUCAUGAGCGAACUGAUGUAUUGGUAAAACAGGAAGAGAUACAAGAGACUCCCCUUAUUUUGUUUUUGGGGUUUUGUCCAGCUACUAGCUUGUUUUGUACUCUUCUUGUAGAUAGAUCACGCCAAAGCUACAACUAAAAAAAUUAACAAAAGUAUAUCACCAAAGAAUUGAUAAACUAACAGAAAAACCAGUGCCAACAUAUCACAAAUAAGAAAACUAACUUAAGUACUAUACAAUAUAUCACGAGGAGACUGAUAAACUAAUGGUAAACGAGUAUCCUAUUGUAAAUCGCCACUCCCGCCGCAUCGCGCGAGUAAACGAUUAGUACUAUAUAAAGUUCCAAAACCCUGAUUUCAGAAGCGCCGAGCGACAGUGGCUUCGAAGGGUUGUUCAGAUUCGUCGAUGGAACUGCACAACUUAGAGGGGUAUCGUAGUGUAAAGAGGUAGAGAGUUGUUAAGUAUAUGGCGAGUUUGUGCUAUCCACCGAUUCUUAAAGCGAAACGUGAAGGGGUGCUCUUUGCUUGAAGUUUGGAUUCAUUGCAAUCUGCGGCGUUGGCCCAUGAUCUCGCCACGUAUCAUCACCACGGAUUGAGAGUCGUGUACAAUUUUACCGAUGUGAUGAGGUACGCCGUGGAGUUGUUGAAGACCGGUCGUACUGUUAGAAAACGGGAGGUGGGAAAUGUGUCUUCGAUGGAGUUGGCUGGAAAGAGGAAGCUGGAAGAUGACACGGAUGCGCUGGAGAAUAAGAAGAUGAAGUUGCCGUCAUUGGGAGUUGAACGUAAGUUUAUUUGUAUCAUAGAGAUGAUGGAUGAUGGUAAAUUUGUUGUUACGAUGGGCUCUUCUUCGAUGCUUGCUAUGGGGACUUACAGUUCUCCGGAGACCGCAGCUGUGGCGUAUGACAUUGCGGCCUACUUUCUUCAUGGCCCGGACGCUAUUUUUAAUUUUGGGGGUAUGAUCGAGAACGUCAAGGAUUUGCCAGCCGACAUACUCAAAGUCGAAGCCAAAGCCAAAGCUAAAGCCGCCAAGCGGACCGAGCAGAACUAACAGGCUUUUCUGUUUGGUAACCGUGUGUUUGUUGGACUUUGAAUCUUGCAAAUAAUAGUUAGUUGUUUAGACUUUUCUGUUUGGUGACUAUUUGUUGGUGAUGAAAGACUUUGAAUCUACAAAUAAUAGUUAUUUAGUGGUAAAA
This is an RNA transcript of Helianthus annuus (common sunflower), 1795 nucleotides long. It is a transcript of the gene named ethylene-responsive transcription factor ERF010-like, with no coding region annotated. NCBI's taxonomy places the organism in Eukaryota, Viridiplantae, Streptophyta, Magnoliopsida, Asterales, Asteraceae. The record is from RefSeq and is a predicted model, not a curated record. The transcript is spliced from 3 exons.